Molecule: long non-coding RNA, 1363 nt
Filed under: Piliocolobus tephrosceles (Ugandan red Colobus)
Lineage: Eukaryota; Metazoa; Chordata; Mammalia; Primates; Cercopithecidae
Description: lncRNA (ENSPTEG00000016296.1)
Source: RNAcentral
CUUAAAUUUAUUAGAUUUUUCAAAAUCUUCACAAAGUUUGGCAAAUAGUAUAGAAGAAAAAAGUAAAAAGAGUAAUCAAAACAGUGUGAGAUCCAUUGCUUAUUUUUCUAGCAAAAAUUCCAAGGAAACAUUGCCAAAAAAUGAUAAAGAAGCUGAUAGUUAUAAAUCAAUUUAUAGCCUACAUAAAAUACAUGAUGAACCGAAAAAAAAUAAUAAAUUAACCAGAGAAGAUAUAUUAGAAAAAGUAAAAGAAUCAAUGAAAAAAAUAGAAUCUUUGAAAGGAAACGAAUAUAUGAAAGAAAAAGAUUCUAUUUAUGAUAUGAUUGAUAGUGUAUGUGAUGUUAUGGUGCCAGAAGGUAGAGCAAAGCUUUUAAAUAUUAAUGAAGAUUAUGGGUAUAUCUUACUUGAGGACGGCACACAUAAUUUUUAUCCUCUCGAAAUGAUAAAAUUAAAUCCAGGCUAUGUAAAAAAAAAUCCAUUGUUUAAUCUUAAUUACAGCUACAAAGAUAUCAUGCUCAACCACACAAAAAAUAUGACGGAACUAAAAUUUAAAAAUGUAUAUAAUAAUAAUGAUACAUUAAAGAAUAAUGCAAACGAAAUGAAAGUUGAUGAUAAAUUCCUUAAUUUUUCUAACAAAUUGAGCCAUUUGAAAGAUUACAUAAUAAAAAAUGAAGCAAAUGACAAUACAAGAAAUGUAGAUAACUAUUUGGUUCGUGAAGAUUUGAAUAAAGACCAAGUCAAAGAUGUUGAACUUGAUAAAAACGAUUUACAAAAAAAUCAAUAUCUGCUUAAAAAGAGUGUAAAACUUAAUCAAUUAAAUAAUGUUUACAAAAUAGAAGGCGUAACACCAUAUAUCCCCCUUGGUCCCAUAAAUGAGGUUGAUGCAAAAAAUUGUGGUUGUAAACUAAUUUAAAAUGAAUAAUUUUUAUUAAUAUAAAACCAAAUUGUUUUGCUUUUCACAAUGAAAGUUGGUUAUUUGUGAAAUAUUAUUUAUACUUAAGGUAAUAGCAUGUGGCUUUAUUUUAUUAACAAUUGUUUAUGUCUCUCUCUCCCUCUAUAUAUACAUAUAUAUAUAUAUAAAUUUAUAUUGUUUAUUAAACACUUUUUAUAUGUUUCCUUUUUCCUACAUGUUAUAAUUCUGUUAAAUAUUGUCUGCUAUACGGUCUAAUAAGCCUUUUCAAUCGUUUGUGUGGAUAUAAUUUUGUUUUAUUGUAUUGGAACUUAAGUAAACACAAGGCGUGUUUUUAUAUAAUACAAGUUAUACUGCGCACGUAUUAAAAUGUUAUAUAAUUAAAAAGGGCUCAUAUCUUUUUUAGUACGUUGUAAUUUUAUUAAUUAUUAGAUGUGAUGAGUGAUAAUAAAA